GGGGGAACUGAAACAUCUAAGUACCCCGAGGAAAAGAAAUCAACCGAGAUUCCCCCAGUAGCGGCGAGCGAACGGGGAGCAGCCCAGAGCCUGAAUCAGUGUGUGUGUUAGUGGAAGCGUCUGGAAAGGCGCGCGAUACAGGGUGACAGCCCCGUACACAAAAAUGCACAUGCUGUGAGCUCGAUGAGUAGGGCGGGACACGUGGUAUCCUGUCUGAAUAUGGGGGGACCAUCCUCCAAGGCUAAAUACUCCUGACUGACCGAUAGUGAACCAGUACCGUGAGGGAAAGGCGAAAAGAACCCCGGCGAGGGGAGUGAAAAAGAACCUGAAACCGUGUACGUACAAGCAGUGGGAGCACGCUUAGGCGUGUGACUGCGUACCUUUUGUAUAAUGGGUCAGCGACUUAUAUUCUGUAGCAAGGUUAACCGAAUAGGGGAGCCGAAGGGAAACCGAGUCUUAACUGGGCGUUAAGUUGCAGGGUAUAGACCCGAAACCCGGUGAUCUAGCCAUGGGCAGGUUGAAGGUUGGGUAACACUAACUGGAGGACCGAACCGACUAAUGUUGAAAAAUUAGCGGAUGACUUGUGGCUGGGGGUGAAAGGCCAAUCAAACCGGGAGAUAGCUGGUUCUCCCCGAAAGCUAUUUAGGUAGCGCCUCGUGAAUUCAUCUCCGGGGGUAGAGCACUGUUUCGGCAAGGGGGUCAUCCCGACUUACCAACCCGAUGCAAACUACGAAUACCGGAGAAUGUUAUCACGGGAGACACACGGCGGGUGCUAACGUCCGUCGUGAAGAGGGAAACAACCCAGACCGCCAGCUAAGGUCCCAAAGUCAUGGUUAAGUGGGAAACGAUGUGGGAAGGCCCAGACAGCCAGGAUGUUGGCUUAGAAGCAGCCAUCAUUUAAAGAAAGCGUAAUAGCUCACUGGUCGAGUCGGCCUGCGCGGAAGAUGUAACGGGGCUAAACCAUGCACCGAAGCUGCGGCAGCGACGCUUAUGCGUUGUUGGGUAGGGGAGCGUUCUGUAAGCCUGCGAAGGUGUGCUGUGAGGCAUGCUGGAGGUAUCAGAAGUGCGAAUGCUGACAUAAGUAACGAUAAAGCGGGUGAAAAGCCCGCUCGCCGGAAGACCAAGGGUUCCUGUCCAACGUUAAUCGGGGCAGGGUGAGUCGACCCCUAAGGCGAGGCCGAAAGGCGUAGUCGAUGGGAAACAGGUUAAUAUUCCUGUACUUGGUGUUACUGCGAAGGGGGGACGGAGAAGGCUAUGUUGGCCGGGCGACGGUUGUCCCGGUUUAAGCGUGUAGGCUGGUUUUCCAGGCAAAUCCGGAAAAUCAAGGCUGAGGCGUGAUGACGAGGCACUACGGUGCUGAAGCAACAAAUGCCCUGCUUCCAGGAAAAGCCUCUAAGCAUCAGGUAACAUCAAAUCGUACCCCAAACCGACACAGGUGGUCAGGUAGAGAAUACCAAGGCGCUUGAGAGAACUCGGGUGAAGGAACUAGGCAAAAUGGUGCCGUAACUUCGGGAGAAGGCACGCUGAUAUGUAGGUGAAGCGACUUGCUCGUGGAGCUGAAAUCAGUCGAAGAUACCAGCUGGCUGCAACUGUUUAUUAAAAACACAGCACUGUGCAAACACGAAAGUGGACGUAUACGGUGUGACGCCUGCCCGGUGC
Molecule: ribosomal RNA, 1659 nt
Filed under: Escherichia coli
Lineage: Bacteria; Pseudomonadati; Pseudomonadota; Gammaproteobacteria; Enterobacterales; Enterobacteriaceae
Description: partial 23S ribosomal RNA
Rfam family: Bacterial large subunit ribosomal RNA
Source: RNAcentral